RNAcentral lists this ribosomal RNA (585 nucleotides) under uncultured bacterium. RNAcentral's name for it is "partial 16S ribosomal RNA". It matches the Rfam family "Bacterial small subunit ribosomal RNA", at positions 355 to 1375 of the family's 1533-position model. The record is from RNAcentral.
UGGGGAAUUUUGGACAAUGGGGGAAACCCUGAUCCAGCCAUCCCGCGUGUGCGAUGAAGGCCUUCGGGUUGUAAAGCACUUUUGGCAGGAAAGAAACGUCGCGGGUUAAUACCCCGCGAAACUGACGGUACCUGCAGAAUAAGCACCGGCUAACUACGUGCCAGCAGCCGCGGUAAUACGUAGGGUGCAAGCGUUAAUCGGAAUUACUGCGCGUAAAGCGUGCGCAGGCGGUUCGGAAAGAAAGAUGUGAAAUCCCAGAGCUUAACUUUGGAACUGCAUUUUUAACUACCGGGCUAGAGUGUGUCAGAGGGAGGUGGAAUUCCGCGUGUAGCAGUGAAAUGCGUAGAUAUGCGGAGGAACACCGAUGGCGAAGGCAGCCUCCUGGGAUAACACUGACGCUCAUGCACGAAAGCGUGGGGAGCAAACAGGAUUAGAUACCCUGGUAGUCCACGCCCUAAACGAUGUCAACUAGCUGUUGGGGCCUUCGGGCCUUGGUAGCGCAGCUAACGCGUGAAGUUGACCGCCUGGGGAGUACGGUCGCAAGAUUAAAACUCAAAGGAAUUGACGGGGUCAUAGCUGUUUCCU